AUUGAACGCUGGCGGCAGGCUUAACACAUGCAAGUCGAGCGGGGGAAGGUAGCUUGCUACUGGACCUAGCGGCGGACGGGUGAGUAAUGCUUAGGAAUCUGCCUAUUAGUGGGGGACAACAUCUCGAAAGGGAUGCUAAUACCGCAUACGUCCUACGGGAGAAAGCAGGGGAUCUUCGGACCUUGCGCUAAUAGAUGAGCCUAGGUCGGAUUAGCCAGUUGGUGGGGUAAAGGCCUACCAAGGCGACGAUCUGUAGCGGGUCUGAGAGGAUGAUCCGCCACACUGGGACUGGGACACGGCCCAGACUCCUACGGGAGGCAGCGGUGGGGAAUAUUGGACAAUGGGGGGAACCCUGAUCCAGCCAUGCCGCGUGUGUGAAGAAGGCCUUAUGGUUGUAAAGCACUUUAAGCGAGGAGGAGGCUACUCUAGUUAAUACCUAGGGAUAGUGGACGUUACUCGCAGAAUAAGCACCGGCUAACUCUGUGCCAGCAGCCGCCGUAA
Molecule: ribosomal RNA, 501 nt
Filed under: uncultured bacterium
Lineage: Bacteria
Description: partial 16S ribosomal RNA
Rfam family: Bacterial small subunit ribosomal RNA
Source: RNAcentral